UUUAAUUUCUGGUAUUAUUUGAGGUGAUAUUCGGUAAGAAAUUAAUUGCUUAUUUUGUGCUACUUGAUCAUUGCGUAUAGUUGAGUCUUUAAUUGUUAAAUUGAUUAUUCUUGCAUUGAUCAUAGACCUCUAUAUUGUAUUGAUUUUUCUAUUGUUAGACUAAGUGUAGUCUAAAGGUUUUAAUCCUGAUGGAUUAGAAGAGUAGUUUACAAACAGGUUCAAGGAAGCAAAG
Molecule: long non-coding RNA, 232 nt
Filed under: Panax ginseng (ginseng)
Lineage: Eukaryota; Viridiplantae; Streptophyta; Magnoliopsida; Apiales; Araliaceae
Description: long non-coding RNA (PGIN_LNC004654)
Source: RNAcentral